This is a long non-coding RNA of Pseudoliparis swirei, 6126 nucleotides long. RefSeq lists it as uncharacterized. The record is from RefSeq and is a predicted model, not a curated record. Lineage: Eukaryota; Metazoa; Chordata; Actinopteri; Perciformes; Liparidae. The transcript is spliced from 2 exons.
UUGAGAAUAUAUCAUGGUAUAUGUUGGGGAAAAAUGUGUUUUAGAAGUUCUCUCUCUCCUGGAAUGUGUUAAACAAUUGUCCCUCCUCAAAUGUCUAUGGAGGAAGCUAAAUCUAAUCCUGUGUGGGGUCAUGUGGAAAGGUCACAACCCAGGCUCUCAUGGGAAAAAGGUCACAACCAAGGGGUCUUGAACUGAGCUUGAACCUAGCAGAAUAAACAAGCCUUCGGGGUGUCUCAACUUCCUCUAAUAGGUAACAGAUGGACUUUGGAAUGUGGAUUCUCUCUGAGAUCUAUAAAGGUUGCAGUCUUGCACUGAGACAGCAGCAGUUAUUUCUGACGGCCUUGAGAGAAGGCUCAGGGAUCCUGCUCCAUUCAGCUGAAUGUUUUCAUGACUUGUUUGUUAUUUAGCGUUUGGUUGAUGACUUGUAAACUUGUUACUAUAAUAAAGUGUUAUGGGUCAACCAUGCUUAAACUACUUUUGAUCUCUCACAAGGUAAAGGAACACUUAUUUCCACCACAAAAUGGCGACGAGGAUGCGAUGGACGCGCUUGACGGGGACUCCGGCUGAACGGCAGAUGGCCAUAAUAUAGAUGAAUCCUCCCCCGAGGGUGAGAAGCUGCCGUUCAGACGGAGACCGGACGGCCGAUCCAAUCUAGUUGAAAAACUAUGGACAACACGCGGUGAGAGAUCCAAUUUAUUUUAAAACAAAAAGUCAUGAAACAGGGAAAAUAGAAAAAUCUCACAAUCAGGGUUGUUAACAGACGUGUUUUGGAAACUGUUGGGUUCUCUAGUGGUUUGCAUGCACCAGUUUUGGCGCACACUUCUCAGGGAAAACAGUUAGCAGUUUUUAGAGAUAGCAGCGGUCACUCAUGACUUGCCUUGGUCAUUCAUGUGUAUUGUUUAGAGUGAACGCGUCUGGUGAUGCCUGAAAAAUUUAUUGACGCACACGUCGACGUAAUACACGAAUGACUAGAAAUGGGUAGUGCUCAGAGAAGAGGGGAGACUAGUUGGAACCAUGUCGUCCCGAUCCUUCCGACCCUGUGUGAAUUUAUGUCAGAACAUUAUCCGGGCAGUUUAGAUCAAAUGCAAAAAUGGAUAGAAGUUGGUUUUCCUUCAAACGGAAGUUUGAGCGAGAAUCAAUUAAAACAGUUGGAGGUGCAACUGAGGGAGAUGGAGAUGAGCGCGACGGCUCAGCAUGCAGCCUUAUCAAAGAAAAAGCAGAAGAAUGUGAUAUUUAAGGCAGACUGGGAAGCCUUUGGAAUGUGGGAAUUUGAGUUUAAAAAAAAAAAAAAGGGAGAGACAGAGAUUGAAAGCAUUUAAUUAGCUAAAUUCCAAAAAACCUACGAAGAAUGUUAACAAGUGUCAUUGCAUUCACCCAAAUACUGUGUAUCCUUGUCUUUCUGAGGUACUGAGAGAAUCGGUGGCUCCAGACCUGGAUUCCGCCCCCCCCUUUUGCUCCGCCAGCCUGCUUGCAGCAGCCUUCUCAGUCAAAUGCAGCUUCAUCGGACACAGUCCAAGAGGGACACAGACUCUGGAACAAUGCAAAGACCAUCUGAAAGAGCGUUUCGUGAGCGGGACGAGACCAAACUCCUGCAGAUGGUGAGAAAAUCAUAUGUUCCACUAACAGAUGUCCUAAAGCACGCUGAACAUGCUAAGGCGGAGUUGCACAGAAAAGAGAUGCUUGCAAUGAUCAACACGCUCGCAAGGCAACUACGGAAUAUUCCCACAUGGCAACUUGGGAGGACAAGAGGUCGAGGCAGAGGCAGAAUGGAUCUGAAGAUAUGAUUCAAGUGUGUGCUACAACUGCGGAGGGCAUGGACACUGGCGAACAGAGUGUCCGGAGCCCAAAAAGGAAGACCCGCUUUCGACACGGCUGAGCGGAGGGAGGCGGGGGAGGGGCGGAUCCCAGAGACGGACAACCCUCUCCAGGACAAACAAGUAAGGCACACUACACAAGAAAAACAAAAGAAGCAAACUUUAACAUUGAUUUUCUAACCAUCUUUAAAGAUGUUUUGACUCAGGAGUAACAAUCUUAUUUGUAAAAUUGAAAUUCCCAUUAUUUUAGGCUAUAAGAAAUAGCUCAAAACCACUCUGUAGCGAAAAGAGUGAAAAACUAAUAUUAGACCAGGGAGCUUCAGUUGCUCAUGAUCUUUUCACAUUGCAUACAGUACUGCAGCAGAAGGUUACAUGCCAUUAUUACAUUGUCAUGUAAACAUAGGAAGUAAACAGAAGGUUUGAGAGAAUGUAGAUUUGAAAUAGAAGUAUUGGUGAGAGAGGGCUGCUGUUGGGUCUGUCUGUGUGUCUCCCUCCGUCUCAGGAAAUGUGCCUUGGAGCUGCCCUGCAUAUAUCACUGACAGACUAUCGCACUGGGAAGGGCGAGGAUCUGGGUCCAUGUUUUGCAAUACGUCUCGGCCUUUCAAAAGAAACAACGACCGGGUGCUGAGAAACCUAGGGACUAGCGCUAUUGGUAAUGUUUUAAACUACAUUGACCAUCACAGUAAGUGUACACGAAUAAAAAACAAAGAGAAAAAAAAGAAGGAGAAACGUAAUACACGGGGACCAGAAUGUCUAAAGGGUUGUCAUGAAAGACCAGGCAUGUCCCAGAGACUGCUUAGUGAAAACUUUGGAAUUCUAUAGACGAUGUAUUAGUUUAUAUAAUAUUAUAUGUAUGUAUUGUAUUAUAUGAUGAAUUACAGCCAUCAAAGGAGGCUUGUAAAAUUAACAAUAUCUAAACAUUUGGCAGAUAAUGGACAUAAAACUAGUCUACAAAAAGAAAAAGGAAACAUCAAUGUGCACUAAAACGAGUAAUUUAUCUGGGACAUGUGAUCACAAGAGACGGCAAUUUCCUCUCUCCCAACUAGUAUUGUGGUAGUUCAAUCACUACCAAAACUAAUUAAGAAGAAACAAAUUAUGUUUUUUUAAAUUAUUUUUUUAGGAACGACGUCAUACUACAGACAGUGGAUCCCAAAUGACUUAGAAAGAGAGGCACACCUCUCGUCCAUGGUAAAGGCCUCAGUGAACAUGACUGACUGACUUAGACUAUAAAAGCAAAAGACAGAAGAGAACUUAAAGACUUCCUUACUACAGGCCCGACCGGGGCCUGCCGAGACCAAACUUGAUAUGUAUUUUAUACAUAGACCGAAAUGACUGUUACAUGAACCCCAGUUGUGUCAGCCUCAUGGAGGAAACUUAGGCCUGUGUCCGACUUCUCCUCGACAUGACUUUGUUGUCACAGGUCUUCCUCUCUGUUGCAGCAGCUGAAGAAGCCAUGGAUUAACAUCACGGGACAUUGUGGGCUAUUCUGAUGUCACACUUAUAGUCCCGCAUGCAGUUUCCCACAUCUUCCAUGCCAGAAGACUUCUCACCUCUCUGCUCAGAGAUGGUUCAGAUAUCAUGUUGGAAUAGCGUGACAUUACGGUAUUGCAACAGACAUGCAUCCCGAGACCUGAUCUGUUGGACACACCUCCUUCCAAUGCAGAUUCAAGCUAUCUGUAGCUAUCCAGCUCACCCAUAACGGGGCAGCGGUCAGGUUGUAUGUUACAUCACAUCACACACUUGUUGGUGUCAGGCUUACUGCACACCGAUCAGUACAAGCAGCAGAGCUGAUUGCUCUCACAGAGGAAUGUAAGGUAGCUAAAAAGGUCAAACUAACAAUUACACAGGUUCACUUCAGGUAUCUGGAACGUACAUGACCUUGGGCCUCUGUGGAAGACACAGAGGAUUUCUAACAGUGGCAAACCUAUGCACACCACACGGUGGGUUUCAGCUGUUUCCAGUCGUUAAAUGUGAAGCUCACAUCUCUUCUUUUGACCUGUGUCAAUAGUAAACAUAGUGGCAGAUCUGGUGGCAAAGGCGGCAGCCUUAUCAGGCACCCCUUUUCCCCACAUAGACUGAUUCCAGUCCUUAGGCAGAUCUUUCCACAAUUCAUUCUUUUGCCAAUGCCAGGAGCGCUCCCUAUGGAACGCUCUGGUGCCACUCUUUGAGUCGAGGGUUUGACAGCCCAGACGGCAAGCCUUGUUUGCCACGCGCUCUCUUCCAUACUUCUAGAUUUUCUCAUGGAGGAGACCACGUGGGCAAAGGGGGAAUGUGUAAUGCUCUAAGUGCAAGUUCAUACACCAGAGCAUUUUCAACAUUUGCAAUAAAUAACAACAGCAGGGUCACCGCCCUGCAGAUACACUUUUUGAACAGUUAGUAAUGUAUUUUAAAUCUCAACGUUUUAACAUCAGGCAUCAUUGUUCUUAUCAUCCUCAAUCAGCUGAUUGAGUUGAACGAGAAAGUGGUACUAUUAAAUCUAAACUAGCGAAAUGUUGUGACGAGACAGGCCUAUCUUCAGUGAAGGCACUUUCCGCGAGUGCUUUUUCACAUGCGCAUGCGAAUACAGCAUGCUAAGAUAUUGUGCCAACCUAUCAUCCUCGCUCUCAGCACUUCACACACAGGUGAAAUCUACACUUCCCUCACCAGCCACUGCGGUCCAGCAUCACCUGAAACCAGGAGACUGGGUGCUCAUCAAGGAUCACAGGAGGAAGCACGGGAAGCAGAGACACUACCCGGGUCCCUUUCAAGUACCCCGACAACGGAGACGGUGGUGAGAGUGGAAGGAGAACGACGUAGGUCUACGCCAGCCACUGCAAACACAUCCCAGAUCCAGAAGGAGAAGGAGCAGCUGCUACAGGUCCGGACUAGAGGGGAAGGGUGAGAAAAGCGAGCGCCUUCCUCCAUCAAGUAGCAUGCCAAGCUACCAACAAGCGCACCCUUUAGCAGUGAAGUAACCGAACACCUCACUUAUUUUGUGUGGCUGGGGAGAAACCCGAGUUUCUCAAACUGCAAAGCUGUCAUACAGAAAUCAGUGUGGUAGGAGGUGAACUCAUGUGAAAAGGUGACGCCACCCAAGAAACAGUGAUGGAAGAAAGAUCUCCAGCAUCAGGACACUCCUUUGAGGAGCACGGGUGCAGCCAGAGCAAAAGCAUGCACUCACUGCUCUCUCUGAACCACGACAGCAAGGAUACUGUUCCUGAACUUUGAAUUUCAAUUACAAGACAUAAACGGCAAAGAUACCAGCCCGUUUCAUCUCACGAAGAAGUGGCAGGAAUUGCCCAACAGGACGAUGUGUUCCCUCUCCUCAAUAGAUUGAUAUGUUAAUAUGGACGAACAACUUCGUCAAAUAGUAUGUGAGUGGUGUUAAGUGGCCUACCAGCAGGUCAGUAAAGCACAGCCGAAACCAGCACCUAUUGGAAACAUGUACUUUUAAGCCCAACACAGGUUCUAUUCGAUUAGAAAAUAGGUAUACAGAGCAUACCUUGAGUAAAUAAAUUCAAAGUCAAGCAUUCAUCUUGGACAAAAGCAUAAUUGUACUAAAUCUUUAACUAAGACCAGACCUAGAGGUGAAGAUUCACCAAACCCAAACCAUCCAUUCUGAUCUAUUCUUUGACUAAUGUCAGCUGUCAUGUUAAUUUCUACGUGUUAGGAUAACUAAUUUGAGAAUAGUGUGUAACUAAACAAGAUCAGUACAUAGUGGGUAUUAGUAGACAAAAACCAUACUUUGCACUCAGAGGUUAAUGAUGUAAUGUCUUGAAAUCUUUGGGAAUCUACCUCACUGAUGUAUGUCCUACAAAUGGUUAUAUACUAACUUUUGACUAUCAUUUUUCAGUUGUUAAAAUUGUCAAGAAUGACAAAAAGAGUGAGAUGUUGGGGAAAAAUGUGUUUUAGAAGUUCUCUCUCUCCUGGAAUGUGUUAAACAAUUGUCCCUCCUCAAAUGUCUAUGGAGGAAGCUAAAUCUAAUCCUGUGUGGGGUCAUGUGGAAAGGUCACAACCCAGGCUCUCAUGGGAAAAAGGUCACAACCAAGGGGUCUUGAACUGAGCUUGAACCUAGCAGAAUAAACAAGCCUUCGGGGUGUCUCAACUUCCUCUAAUAGGUAACAGAUGGACUUUGGAAUGUGGAUUCUCUCUGAGAUCUAUAAAGGUUGCAGUCUUGCACUGAGACAGCAGCAGUUAUUUCUGACGGCCUUGAGAGAAGGCUCAGGGAUCCUGCUCCAUUCAGCUGAAUGUUUUCAUGACUUGUUUGUUAUUUAGCGUUUGGUUGAUGACUUGUAAACUUGUUACUAUAAUAAAGUGUUAUGGGUCAACCAUG